Molecule: ribosomal RNA, 497 nt
Filed under: uncultured bacterium
Lineage: Bacteria
Description: partial 16S ribosomal RNA
Rfam family: Bacterial small subunit ribosomal RNA
Source: RNAcentral
GAUGAACGCUGGCGGCGUGCCUAAUACAUGCAAGUCGAGCGAACGGACGAGAAGCUUGCUUCUCUGAUGUUAGCGGCGGACGUGUGAGUCACACGUGGAUAACCUACCUAUAAGACUGGGAUAACUUCGGGAAACCGGAGCUAAUACCGGAGAAUAUUUUGAACCGCAUGGUUCAAAAGUGAAAGACGGUCUUUCUGUCACUUAUAGAUGGAUCCGCGCUGCAUUAGCUAGUUGGUAAGGUAACGGCUUACCAAGGCAACGAUGCAUAGCCGACCUGAGAGGGUGAUCGGCCACACUGGAACUGAGCCACGGUCCGGACUCCUACGGGAGGCAGCAGUAGGGAAUCUUCCGCAAUGGGCGAAAGCAUGACGGAACAACGCCGAGUGAGUGAUGACGGUCUUCGGAUCGUAAAACUCUGUUAUUAGGGAAGAACAGAUGUGUCAGUAACUGUGCACAUCUUGACGGUACCUAAUCAGAAAGCCACGGCUAACUACGUG